CCUACGGGUGGCAGCAGUGAGGAAUAUUGGUCAAUGGGCGCGAGCCUGAACCAGCCAAGUAGCGUGAAGGAUGACUGCCCUCCGGGUUGUAAACUUCUUUUAUAAAGGAAUAAAGUGAGGCACGUGUGCCUUUUUGUACGUACUUUAUGAAUAAGGAUCGGCUAACUCCGUGCCAGCAGCCGCGGUAAUACGGAGGAUCCGGGCGUUAUCCGGAUUUAUUGGGUGUAAAGGGAGCGUAGAUGGGGUGUUAAGUCAGUGGUGAAAGUUUGCGGCUCAACCGUAAAAUUGCAAUUGAUACUGGCAGCCUGGAGUACAGUUGAGGUAGGCGGAAUUCGUGGUGUAGCGGUGAAAUGCGUAGAUAUCACGAAGAACUCCGAUUGCGAAGGCAGCCUGCUAAACUGCAACUGACGUUGAUGCUCGAAAGUGUGGGGAUCAAACAGGAUUAGAUACCCUGGUAGUC
This 460-nucleotide ribosomal RNA is filed under the name uncultured bacterium. RNAcentral describes it as "partial 16S ribosomal RNA". It matches the Rfam family "Bacterial small subunit ribosomal RNA", at positions 338 to 795 of the family's 1533-position model. The record is from RNAcentral.